CUUUAAGUUCACAGGAAGUACUUAAUAAAUGCUUAUUAAAUACAGGCUACUUCCUAUAAUAUUUGUUUUCUGUUCACAGUGAUUAUUUCUCAUUUUUUCCCCAAGGGGUGGGAAUUAGGUUAAGAAGGGUAAACUUGCUGGGCAUAAAGGUGCACACCUGUAGUCCAACUAGUUGGGAUGAUGAGGCUGGCAAAUUUGAGGUCAGCCUGGGCAAUCCUCAGUAAGACUCAAAAUUAAAAAUAAAAAGGGCUGGGGAUAUAACUCAGUCUUGUGCACCACUGGGUUCAAUCCCUGGUACCCCUCCCACCAAAAAGAAGAGCAAACUCUCUGAACUGUGGGAGACAAAAGAAACCUUUCAAAAGUUGGGCCUUGGCUCACGACUAUUCUUCCCACAGUCUGCUAAAGAUCUCUUUGGGAAUUUCUGGCCACAUCAUAAUAUUCAUCUAUUCCAUUUGGCUGUGGACUUGUCAGUGGGGCUGGGAAUUAUUGUUUUUAUAGUGCUGAGUGAAAGAUAAAAAAAAAAAAAAAAAGAAACUACUUUGGCAGUCAAUUGCAGGUCCUAAAAUACUUGCAUUUUAUUUUUGUAUAUAAGUCCCACCAAUGCCUAAACCAGUAAUAAUAAGUUAGAGAGCAAAUGAUGCUACAUUGUUUAAUUUAAUCAAUUCAGUGAUUUCCCCCCCACACACACCUUUAUUUAAAACAAUAACUUGACAUAAUUAAACAUUUGAUGAAAAACAGAGUGUAAAAAAAAUAACUUUUCAGAUGGCUCAUUUCCCUUGCUUUUAAAUCAGAAAGUAUAGUUUUGGAACCAUGGUAGCUUUAUUCAUUAACAACUGUUUGUUCCUUGCCUAAUUAUCAGUGCCUGUUUGGAAUUACUCCCUGCCUCCAGUCUCCUUUACAAGGACAGUGCAGGCUCCUGGGAUACAUUUUUGAAGAAAAGAAAGAUCCAGCCUUUUUGGAGCUUAUGUUCUUGCAGAGAUAGGCAGGAUAAAUGUACUUUUUUUUUUUGCCUCUGCACCAAGGGCCUUGCACUUGGUACUGUACCACUGAGCUACAUUCCAAGCCCUGGGCAGGAUAAGUAGUAAAGAAGGUUAAGUAAUAAAUGAAUAAACUGACAAUAUAUUAAAAGGUGAUAAAUGCUGUUUGUUGCCAAAGUUCUGAUUCUGGGGGGUUCCCAAUAAAUCAGGUCUAGCCAUUUACCCCAAAAACUAAGUGGAAAAAUUGGGAAAAGCAGGAAAGGAACUUAAAUUAAUAUGGCUGUAUUGGGAAGGCAAAGUGAGAUCAAGCUUAUCAGCCCUCUCUUCAGGAUGCUAACAUGAGCUUUAGGGUCUUUUUUUUUAAUGAGGAGUUUUAUUAAAUCUUGCCCCCUUUGCUCCUUGAGUACAAAACUCUUUAACAUUGUGUGUGAUCACAUGAGAAGUACGCAUGAACAUUUUUGGUGGGUGGAUACUGAGGAUCAAUCCAGGGGCCAUUAGCCACUGAGCCAUAUCCACAGCAUUUUUAAUUUUUUAUGUUGAAACAGGGUCUCCCUAAGUUGCUUAGGGCCUCGAUAAGUUGCUGAGGCUGGUCUUGAACUUGUGAUCCUCCUGCCUCAGUCUCCCAAGUCACUGGGAGCAUGAACACUUAGUUGCAUGCCAAUGUAAGAUGACUGUCUCAAGGGAAAGUACAUGUUGUGAUUUCUUGAGUUCCAAAUUGAACUAGCUCUUUUCUUCAUGGAACACCAAUUUGGGGGGUCAUUAGGCUCAGGUUUUCAGUCUUUGAAUUGUCAUCUUCUGGCUGCUCUUCUUGUCCUCCUCUUCUUCAUAACCAUCUUCAUCUCCCCCCUAGGGGAGGGAAGUGGUCCCCUCCAUAGGCAUCAGAUACCCAUCCACCUUUCUCUUGGUGAUGCGGACCACAGCUUCCAUUUCAUCCUGACCGUGAAACUUGUGAAACUCGGGUUCUGAAUCUUUUGUGUAAACCACCAGAGACUGAGCUUUAGGUUUAAACAGAGGAAGAAUGGGGCAGGGGGCAAAAGGUAUCCAGAAUUAAACAGUCUUGGUCAAACUAUGGUCUGGUUCAUCAUUGUCUCAGUUUUGGUUCUGCAAGACAGCUCCGAAGAAGUCCUUACUGCUUGAGAAAGCAAAUUAAUUUGCUGCUCAGGAUGUUUACCCACCAGAUCUGUAGUCCUCAAAAGGGGAAAUUUGGUUCCCAUGAGACAAUUGCUUUUGCUUAGGGGAGCAACCUGCAAGCUUGCUAUUGCAGGAAGGUGUCAGGCAAUGACUGGGAUCUUAUGUAGGUGCCACACCAGUAGUCUGGAAUAGAACCUUAUAAAAGCUGGCAGUUGAAUGUCUCUGCAAAUCUUGAAAUACAUUACUCUUAUCUUGAUGUCUUUGGUCUCAAAAGGGGACCAGAUAGGUUACGUAAAAAUAGAGCUAAUCAAACUUGUAUACCAGUUUUUUGAUAAAUACUUCUUAAAUUACUAACAUGCUUAAGUGCAGUUAGCAAGAAUCUGACCCAAGAUUUAAGGCAAAGGGAACAAAUACAUAAAAAGAAGGCAAAAGCGCCAAACUUUCUCUUUCUUUUAAUUAAUCAUAAGGCACCAACAAAUACAAAUGAAGUGUCAGUACUUCUUGCAAAAGCAACUUUUAAUUCACUAUUAUAGUACUUUGGGAAUAUGAAAAUGAUGAACAUGGAGAAAACCUUAUUGACACUUGUAAGGUUUUUGGAGUUUUAUAGGUAUUGUUGAAAUUUGGGAUUUGUGUUUCAUUUAAAUCUUUCUAUAACUUUCUAUUAAAUAAAUUUAGAAGCAAACGAAACAGUUGACAUCAAUAAAAAUGGUGAAGUAUAGGUCUGAAAACCUGUCCUAUCAGGGGCUGGGGUUGUGACUCAGUGGUAGAGUGCUUGCCUAGCAUGCAUGAGGCAUUGGGUUUGAUCUCCAGCACCACAUAAAAAAACUAAAUAAACAAAAUAAAGGUAUUGUGUCCAUCUACAGCUAAAAAUAUUUUAAUUUAAUUUUUAUUUA
Molecule: transfer RNA, 3001 nt
Filed under: Marmota monax (woodchuck)
Lineage: Eukaryota; Metazoa; Chordata; Mammalia; Rodentia; Sciuridae
Rfam family: tRNA (bases 2855-2923)
Source: RNAcentral